RNAcentral lists this long non-coding RNA (723 nucleotides) under Linum usitatissimum (flax). RNAcentral's name for it is "long non-coding RNA (LUSI_LNC003544)". The record is from RNAcentral. Lineage: Eukaryota; Viridiplantae; Streptophyta; Magnoliopsida; Malpighiales; Linaceae.
AAUAAAACCCAACGAUGUCCCCGCUGGAGGUUCGGGUUGCCAGGUAAAGCCCGUUAAAAACAAAUAAAAAGCAUAAUAAAAAAACACAAGAGAAGUAUCAAACCUAGAAAACACAAAAUCAUUAAUUUUCCAACACAUUCAAUCCAUCAUCAAACCCAUUAAAAAACACAAAAUCAUCAAACACAUUCAAUCCAUCUUCCUUAAAACCACACAACCAAAGAAAGACAUCAUUAUCUUGAAAUUGAAAUACAAAAUAUAAUUAAAUAAAGUGCAACAGCAGCAACUUUGUCCAACCAUCAACAUGAGCACCUGCAACAACAAUUCCAGAUUUCCAGCAAUUCCAUAAACACAAUACAACAUGAAUGAGUUCAGCAUCACAGAAAUUAAAAAAGCUUCUAGAUUAGCGAGUUUAGAGAUCUGAAAUCAGAGAAUCAGAGAAGUUCAUAAGUCAGAACUACUUACCCAAAGACAGAUCAGAUGGAGACUGAGAAUUGAACCGUCAUGCAAAUCUAGUACCAACCAAAUCGCAUAUGAACUUCUUGGAAUUAGGGUUGCGAGUUUCAAUUUGAUUGGAUAUUUGGGUCAGGGAUUGAAAAGAUGGAAUUAAAGAAUGGAAUCGGCAACGAUUUGGCAGCUAUAACAAAAAAAUUGAAGGGGAAAUAUAUAGAACUUGGAAUCGUCACUCGUCAUAUUGGAAAUUGGAAUUUAAGAAGAGGAUUAAUG